UUUUAGGCUAUUAAAGGAAAUAAUUCCUGCAAUCAUGCCCCCCAAAAUUAUUAUACAUAAAUAAGCCCCACUUAUGGGCAUUGAGUUAGUUUGGCAGAAAUAGACUGACUGUGGCCCACACACUCCCCAUCUCAAACAGCUACUACACUUACUGUUGCAAGUAUGGAAGUAGUUUGGGCAGCAGAUUUUGUGUGUGUGUGUGUGUGUGUGUGUGCGUGUGUGCGUGCGUGUGUGUGUGUGUGUGUGUGUGUGUGAGUGUGUGUGUGGGUGUCUGUGUGUGCGUGCGUGUUUUUGAUUUUGUGUUAGUGUGUGUGUGUGUGUGUGUGUGUGUGUGUGUGUGUGUGUGUGUGUGUGUGUGUGUGUGUGUGUGUGUGUGUGUGUGUGUGUGUGUGUGUGUGUGUGUGUGUGUGUGUGUGUAAGUGUGCAAGUGUUGGUAGUGUAGAGUAGCCAGACGUGUGUCCACCCCCUUGCAGAAGGCUUGUAGUUGCUCGGGAUCACCGCUUGGUUGUUUGUAACUCGACACCUGGCGAUGCGGUGCGUUGUACCAUUGCUUUACCCACAGAAAAGGGGCUAUUUAAAAAGGAAAGGCAUGAGUUGUGCGCUACCCGACUCCGUAACACACCUUCCCAAUCCCCAAGUAUCGCCACAUAAUUUUGGACUCCCGCUUCCCAUUCUUCUGGAUCGGCAUAAAUGAAUGAAACACAGGGAAAGCUCGUAAGACAGUCGCUCAGGACCACGUUGUGUCACACCACCGAACGACCAGGAGUUGAUCCAGUGGAGUUGAUCUAGACACAACAGUAUGAGUGUUCAUUGGGACCUGAUCUCCAGCCUCUCCGAUGUGUAGGACAGCCGCUCGGUGUCUUCCAUCCCCUCAGGACUCACGCUGUGAUGAACGGAUUAGGUUUUUGACUGCCAGGACAAAUGAAUACAAAUGAAUUUAGCGACCCGAAGGAGAGAUUGCAGAACCUCUCAUCUCGACACAAAGAGAGCUCUAUUGCUCUGCACAGUUCUCUACUGUACUUGUUACCUAGGUCUCGCCCAAGUACACUCUGAAGGUAAGUCCCAAGCUCUCCUCCGGCUCUCUCUACCAUCUUAUAUGGACGCAAAUCACUGCCAUAAUGUUCUGAAUUGUAUAUGAAAUGUAUAUGGAAAUGUAAACCCACGAUAACAAUUACUCAUAUUCAAGUGCUAAAAAUAAGGAAGAGAAAAUCCAAUCCAUAAAAGUUUUAGCUGAAAUACCAGGGCCUUCAAAACCCCUGUGAGUUUGAUUAUACAUGACUGACAACAACCGGACAAUUGACCCGAUAGCCAUCCUUCUCUCUGUUGGCCGUCGCUGGGUUUAAUUGUCAUGCAGGUUUCGUUGAUCACAUGACUGACUGACACCGCUCUGGUUGGCCGGUAGUGAAUUUGAUUGCACUCAGUCUUUCACAAGGUGAUUUCAAUGGGAAUAAAUUCAGUUGACUUUGUUUAAAUGGGAUAAUAUUUCAGUUUUAUGAAUUCAAUUGUGUUUUUAACUAAAUGUAAUGGCUUCUAAAAUUCAAAACAUUAUGGCAGUGAUUUUCUGCCAUUAACUAAAACUCUUCUUCUAUGUUUUUAUGUAUGCAUGAUUUUUGUGGUGAUCUCUUUAGGGGCUAAUUUGCUUUAUUGUUACUUGUUG
This 1657-nucleotide long non-coding RNA is filed under the name Gadus morhua (Atlantic cod). Its description in RNAcentral is "lncRNA (ENSGMOG00000022646.1)". The record is from RNAcentral. Lineage: Eukaryota; Metazoa; Chordata; Actinopteri; Gadiformes; Gadidae.